Bactrocera oleae (olive fruit fly) is the source of this 345-nucleotide non-coding RNA. The record is from RefSeq and is a predicted model, not a curated record. NCBI's taxonomy places the organism in Eukaryota, Metazoa, Arthropoda, Insecta, Diptera, Tephritidae.
GAGUUGUUGUCAGUAUAUGCAACUAAGCCUAGCAGUAAACUUGUGAGUUUGUUUAUAUAUUUGUGGGUAAUUUUUCGUGAAAAUAAAGUCUUCCAGAGAAAUUAGAAAAUCUUUUAGCAUUCAUGGUUCAAAUUCGAUGUUAAUCCCUUAACAAAACAUGAAGACUGGACUUACACUGGAGGUUAUUGGGAGCGAAGCUAUGAAACUACAUCCCAAAUUUUUUAACGAAAUGUGUAAACAUGUGUACUAGUACUUGUGUAAAACUGUUACUAAUGAGUAAUGCUUAUUUAGUUUAAAAUAAAUUAAAGGGUGUUUCAAAGAAGUGUGGAUGGCUUAAUUUGAAAA